This is a non-coding RNA of Dipodomys ordii (Ord's kangaroo rat), 64 nucleotides long. NCBI's taxonomy places the organism in Eukaryota, Metazoa, Chordata, Mammalia, Rodentia, Heteromyidae. The record is from Rfam.
GGUGGCUCAGUGGUAGAGCACUUGCCUUGCAUGCAUGAGGCCCUGAGUUCGAUUCCUAGUACCA